GACGUCGCACACGAUGUUGAGACAGGAUGGUUUCUCAUCGUACAGGACAAACCAGGAUGGUGUUUCAGGGAAAGGCUUCAGGACUGAAGCAAAGAGGACGACGCAGGACGCGUUAAAGGACACCUCCAGGAAGGAGAACGUGAGCCGGACAGGAUGACCGGUGAAUAAGGAUGUUAAGGGAUGCGCUUUACGGAUGAAGUUACAACGCAUCGGGGUGGUGUGUGCAGGACGCAAUAGUUUAGGGAUGAACGGUCAGGAGACCUCAGGAAAAGUUUUCAAGGAUGAGCAGGGAGCACCAAAAGUAGCUGGACUGCUGCGAAACGAACCGGGAGCACUGUUUUUUACAGUGCUCCCUUUUUUUGUU
This 364-nucleotide non-coding RNA is filed under the name Enterobacter sp. kpr-6. The record is from RNAcentral. Lineage: Bacteria; Pseudomonadati; Pseudomonadota; Gammaproteobacteria; Enterobacterales; Enterobacteriaceae.